UAAAUUUACUCGGAUUACUCACAUCAAACUGGUGAAACAACGUCAUCGCCGCCUCCACGGAGACCGUGAUGAGAUAACCGAUACUCCGAGCGACGCUUCCAGCCGGUUGCGCUGGUGGAACCGCCGCACGGACGAUCGUCGGAAUGAUUGGUGCGAUAUUGUAAAACUUGUGACAAAAAAAAAAAAAAAAAACCGGCCAGACACGAAGAUGUUCUGAUCUAGAAUACGUAAUAUUUCCGGAAAUAACUCUUAUUUUCCGGAGCUGCAUUUUACGUUUGACACGUGUACUCAUCUUCGUUCCGUUUUUUUUGUUUCGGUAAAGGAACGUUUGAACCAUCAAGCUGUUUGGCCCCUCACUGAAAAUGCAAGACCAUUUCUGGAGCAUCCACGAAGCUUUUCAUUAUGUGUGCGGUGUCGGUGAUUUGUAUAAAUGACUUGUACAUUUUCUUCGAAGACAAAUUACUACUACAAUCUUCAUUAAAAUAGAGAUAUUGUCUUGACUAUAUUUGGUGUUUUUCACCCCGAAAUCCCGAAGAAUCCUCCCGAAAAUUAGCGAAGAUUUUGGAAAAUGAAGCUCGCACAGCCGCCAUUCAGUUUUUCAUGAAAAAAGUUCACGAAAAAUUCCGAAUAAUCUUGAAACAGUCAAUUGAAAACGUGCGAUUCGGUAUUCGAUCAUUGGCAGCGUCUCGUACGUAGAUUCUCCUUCUCCGAGGCAUCGGCAGUACGGCCGCAACAGCCGAGGCAACGUCGUCAUCGGGAGCGACAUCGAUGGUAGUGCGUACAUCCUUUAAGAAGAGAUAGAAGAAGCUAGCGAGGAGAAAGAAACAUAUUUGGGUGAGGAUUAGCAACGGAAUAGUACGCGGUUACUACAGCGCCAUAUUUUUGGUUGACAAUGAGUCCAGGGGUCAGUUUUGUUCGAGCAGUGACUCGGGAAGUAGUGUUUCGUUUGAUCUACAUAUUUUAAAAAAGUGCUCGACAAUCGGUAGUUAGUGAAAGACCUAUAUCAGUGGAAAUUUUGUGAAUUCCGUGAUUCGGCGAUUUUUCCACAAGCACUGAUUCAUACAUGACAGACGUUGAAGUUGCCUAGUUCUUCGCGAUACUGUUCAACUUUCAACUACCAUCCCUACGUUGUGCUGAGAAAUUCAUAUAAGGCUUUCAAUCAAUCAUCACGGUGCCUAGUGCAUCGCAGUACUCAUUCAACUCCCAACCACGAAGGGCAGUAGUCACAUGGCAUCGCACAAUUCGUUUUCAGGUACCCGGAGAUGCUGUCGCCGCAGUUAUGACCCCCUGGACUUCCCCUGU
Molecule: long non-coding RNA, 1302 nt
Organism: Athalia rosae (coleseed sawfly)
Lineage: Eukaryota; Metazoa; Arthropoda; Insecta; Hymenoptera; Athaliidae
Exons: 4
Source: RefSeq, a predicted model, not a curated record